Molecule: ribosomal RNA, 254 nt
Filed under: uncultured bacterium
Lineage: Bacteria
Description: partial 16S ribosomal RNA
Rfam family: Bacterial small subunit ribosomal RNA
Source: RNAcentral
UACGGGGGGGGCAAGCGUUGUUCGGAAUUACUGGGCGUAAAGGGUUUGUAGGUGGCCUGCUAAGUCAGACGUGAAAUCCCUCAGCUUAACUGGGGAACUGCGUCUGAGACUGGUAGGCUCGAGGACAGGAGAGGAACGCGGAAUUCCAGGUGUAGCGGUGAAAUGCGUAGAUAUCUGGAGGAACACCGGUGGCGAAGGCGGCGUUCUGGACCAACACUGACGCUGAGUGAGCGAAAGCUAGGGGAGCAAACAGG